RNAcentral lists this ribosomal RNA (450 nucleotides) under uncultured bacterium. RNAcentral describes it as "partial 16S ribosomal RNA". It matches the Rfam family "Bacterial small subunit ribosomal RNA", at positions 354 to 796 of the family's 1533-position model. The record is from RNAcentral.
GUGGGGAAUCUUCCACAAUGGACGAAAGUCUGAUGGAGCAACGCCGCGUGAGUGAAGAAGGGUUUCGGCUCGUAAAGCUCUGUUGUCGGGGACGAAUGUGCAGUAUUUGAAUAAAGUAGUGCAAUGACGGUACCUGACGAGGAAGCCACGGCUAACUACGUGCCAGCAGCCGCGGUAAUACGUAGGUGGCAAGCGUUGUCCGGAAUUAUUGGGCGUAAAGGGAGCGCAGGCGGGAAGGUAAGUCGGUCUUAAAAGUGCGGGGCUCAACCCCGUGAUGGGAUCGAAACUAUCUUUCUUGAGUGCAGGAGAGGAAAGUGGAAUUCCUAGUGUAGCGGUGAAAUGCGUAGAUAUUAGGAGGAACACCAGUGGCGAAGGCGACUUUCUGGACGAUGUCUGACGCUGAGGCGCGAAAGCUAGGGGAGCGAACGGGAUUAGAUACCCUGGUAGUCC